AUACGGAGGGUGCGAGCGUUAAUCGGAAUUACUGGGCGUAAAGGGUGCGUAGGCGGCUUGAUAAGUCGGAUGUGAAAGCCCCGGGCUUAACCUGGGAAUUGCAUUCGAUACUGUCAGGCUAGAGUAUGUCAGAGGUUGGCGGAAUUCCUGGUGUAGCGGUGAAAUGCGUAGAUAUCAGGAGGAACACCAGUGGCGAAGGCGGCUAACUGGGACAAUACUGACGCUGAGGCACGAAAGCGUGGGGAGCAAACGGGAUUAGAAACCCCAGUAGUCC
RNAcentral lists this ribosomal RNA (274 nucleotides) under uncultured bacterium. RNAcentral's name for it is "partial 16S ribosomal RNA". It matches the Rfam family "Bacterial small subunit ribosomal RNA", at positions 523 to 796 of the family's 1533-position model. The record is from RNAcentral.